This 74-nucleotide transfer RNA is filed under the name Candidatus Iainarchaeum sp. RNAcentral describes it as "tRNA-Lys". It matches the Rfam family "tRNA". Rfam says of the family: Transfer RNA (tRNA) molecules are approximately 80 nucleotides in length. Their secondary structure includes four short double-helical elements and three loops (D, anti-codon, and T loops). Lineage: Archaea; Nanobdellati; Candidatus Iainarchaeota; Candidatus Iainarchaeia; Candidatus Iainarchaeales; Candidatus Iainarchaeaceae. The record is from RNAcentral.
GGGCCCGUAGCUCAGCCUGGCAGAGCAUUGGACUUUUAAUCCAAGUGUCAAGGGUUCAAAUCCCUUCGGGCUCG